UUUGGGGCUAAAAGUUGCGGACUGGUAGCUGAGGCGGCACGAGAGUAUAGGCGCGCGGGGUCGUUGCCGGGGGCACAGAGUGAGAACAAGCAAGGGAGCCCUGCUGAAUUGCAGCUUAGGAAGCCCUGAAUCCUGGAGAUAUGUUCCUGACCCUUCCUUCUUGAAGGGACAGCUGUGUAACCAUUCAACCAUCUGGCCAUCAGUUUCCACAUCUGUGAAAUCAACUUCUGCCUCAUGGAGCCAUGAGUUCCCAAGUGAAGGCAGUGAGGGGCUGUGGUGUGAUUCAGGAGGCUGAGAAUUAUGCAGUGGGUGCUGUCACCUUGAAGACAUCAGCGCGAUCAGCCAGAUCAUCAUGGUACUGCAUUUCCUGGACACGAUCAUAAUUUUCUUAAUACCUCCACCAACAUUUCAAAUAGUGUCUCUAAUGCCCCAGAGAUUUUUAUGCCCCUAAGGUAGUUUUCUUUCUUUUGUGAAGCAGAAGAAGGGAAAUUGUUAAAGCGAAUUAUUUUAACUAAAUUUAUUUCCAUAAAACUAUCUUUGUCUUUAUAUCUCAUGGAAAGUGUUAGGUAGCCUCAGGAUUAUAUCUCAGUUGGAAAACUGUAGAUGUAAACCUUCUUGCUAUCUACAUACUUACAUAUUUUUCUGUUGUUAUUUAAUUAUGAAUAGCAUUUUGAUUACAGUAGAAAUAAAAUACAUUAAAUGACUAAGCUCAGAAAUAAGAAAAAAAGGUCAAUGGUGAUCAUUUAUUUGGAAACUGUGAUAUUUUAAUGAUAUUAAUGGUGUAAUUGACAUUUAGUUAAACAUAUUUCAACAUAACUAGAGCACUUUAACUCUUAUGGUCCAUUUAAAAUGUAAUCAUACAUUUGUGUAUUUCUAGUUAAUGUAUCAAACUCAACUGAGUAAUCAAUGUACAUCAUUUAUUUUGCUCCUAAGUUAAUACACUAAGUUAUACUUUAAAAUUACUAAUUUGCUGCAAUAUCCAACACUCUCUUUUAAGUAUUACAUCUGGAGAAAAGGAUAUAAACAUUUCAUGACACCAAACCCAAGUAUUUUUGUUGCCCUUGGCAGUGUCAGUUGAACAGACAGUGUCAUUUAAUGUUUGAGACAGCAUCUGAAUUCCUUUUAUUCUUAAAAUUCUAUUUUAAAAUGCAGUUUUUGGAAAGUUAAUAUGAAUAGAAAAAUUUCUAACAUUUUAUGUGUAUGUGUUUUGUUUGGUACAGGCUGAGCAUCUCAAAUCUGAAAAUUCAAAAUCUGAAAUGUUUCUAAAAUUCAACUCUUUUGAGUGCUGAUAUGACGUUCAAAGGAAAAGCUCACUGGAGCAUCUCAGAUUUUGGAUUUUUGGAUUUGGGAUGUUUAACCAGGGUAAAAUAUAGAAUGCAAAUAUUCCAAAAUCUGAAUAAAAUUGAAAUCUGAAAUGCUUAUGGUUCCAAGCAUUUUGGAUAAGGGAUAAUUAAGCUGUAUAACUUAUAAAACUGAAUAUAACAAAAUUUCCCAACAUGUGGAAAAUGAUGUCUUUUUUCAAAAAUGUCAAUAGCAGAUACAUGGUACAGUAAGUUAGGGGAAAAAUGAGGCUUCAUAUCUUCUAGUUUCCUAAUUAAAAGGAGCCCAUUCUAGGUUGGAAGGAAGUGUCAGUAAGAUCAUUUCUCCUAUUUGAAAAUCAUACAAAGCUUGUCAGAGUUACUCAGGCCAGGAGUGUAGCUGGGAGUGUAGCUAAAUGAUAUCUCCCCACAUCUAUAUAAUAAGCUAUUACCUGCUUUAAAAGGAAAAGCUCUCAGCAUGACUUUAAUGUUGCAUUUCUGCAAUACAGCUUGAAAAGCUCUUCUCAGGGUUGAACAGAGCAUGAAGGUAAUGGUUAUUAUCUACUCACAUUAAAAAAAAAAAAAAGAAAGAAAGAAACCACCACAGAAAACUACUUACUGUCUUUAGGCUCUACUUUCAAAAGUGCCCUUUAUGAACGCUUUUACACUGUUGGUGGGAGUGUAAAUUAGUUCAACCGUUGUGGAAGACAGUGUGGUGAUUCCUCAAGGAUCUAGAAUCAGAAAUACCAUUUGACCCAGUAAUCCCAUUACCAGGUAUAUACCCAAAGGAUUAUAAAUCAUUCUAUUAUAAAGACACAGGCACACGUAUGUUUAUUGCAGCACUGUUCACAAUAGCAAAGACUUGGAACCAACCCAAAUGCCCAUCAAUGAUAGACUGGAUAAAGAAAUUGUGGCACAUACACACCAUGGAAUACUAUGCAGCCAUAAGAAAGGAUGAGUUCAUGUCCUUUGCAGGGACAUGGACAAAGCUGGAAACCACCAUUCUCAGCAAACAAGAACAGAAAAUCAGACACUGCAUGUUCUCACUCUAAGUGGGAGCUGAACAAUGAGAAAACAUGGACACAUGGAGGGGAACAUCACACACUGGGCCUUUUGGGGGUGGGGGGCUAGGGGAGGGAUAGCAUCAGAAGAAAUACCUAAUGUAAAUGACAGGUUAAUGGGUGCAGCAAACCACCAUAGCAUAUGUAUACCUAUGUAACAAACCUACAUGUUCUUCACAUGUACCCCAGAAUUUAAAGUAUAAAUAAAUAAAUGAAUAAAUAAAUUUUAAAAAAGUG
This 2596-nucleotide non-coding RNA is filed under the name Pongo abelii (Sumatran orangutan). Lineage: Eukaryota; Metazoa; Chordata; Mammalia; Primates; Hominidae. The record is from RNAcentral.